Non-coding RNA from Oryza barthii, 207 nucleotides. The record is from Rfam. Lineage: Eukaryota; Viridiplantae; Streptophyta; Magnoliopsida; Poales; Poaceae.
AAUACAAGGGAUUUUGAGUUUUUGCUUGCAACGUUUGACCAUUCGUCUUAUUCAAUUUUUUUUGAAAUUAUUAUUUAUUUUAUUUGUGACUUACUUUAUUAUCUACAGUAUUUUAAGCACAACUUUUUGUUUUUUAUAUUUGCAAAAAAAAAUUAAAUAAGACGAGUGGUCAAACGUUGCAAUUAAAAAAUUAAAAUCGCUUAUACU